RNA transcript from Zingiber officinale, 2744 nucleotides. It is a transcript of the gene named protein LATERAL ROOT PRIMORDIUM 1-like, with no coding region annotated. The transcript has 3 exons. NCBI's taxonomy places the organism in Eukaryota, Viridiplantae, Streptophyta, Magnoliopsida, Zingiberales, Zingiberaceae. The record is from RefSeq and is a predicted model, not a curated record.
UUCGGAUAUCACCAUCGAGUAAUUGACGCGUCCAGUUAUAGGUCACGAGAGCGCUGUACUGGCGAGCGUGUACGAAAAGAGUAAAAGGCGAAGGCAAAAGGAAAUGAAGAGAAAGGAAAGGUAAGGAUAGAGAAGGAAGGGAUGGAAAGUUAGUAAGAAAGGAAGUGGAGUAAUCCGGAAGGUACUCUCACUCCAAGCCCCGCCAGAGGAAUUGAAGAACUCCACUUUUUUUUUUAUUUUUAGUAAAAAACAAAGGGAGGGGAAGAAAUAAUUAAGUCGGUAACAAAAAAAAAAAAAAAGUGUGAGAGAGGGAUUUUAGUGUGUAGGGUUAGAGUGAAGCAGAAGAAUUGGUGGGUGUAGGCAGAGAAAGGAAAGCGAGAGGAGGGAGAGUAUCGAGAGAAUAAAAGCAGGCGGGGUGGCUUCUGGAAGGCGCUUCCCUUCGGAUACCGGCGCGUUCGCGGACUGGGCGCAGUCCUCCGCCGACCGGGGCGACGAUCUCUGCCUCGGAUUCAAUGCGGGCGGCGGCAGCGGAGCCGCCGGGGGCGUGGUUUGGGCGGCCGCCGGUAGCUCCGCUGCAGCUGGUGGCGGCGGGCGGCAGACCGUCAAUUACGGCAUCCCUGCCGAUAUGGGCACGGUGGUGCUCGCCUCCGCCGCGUCCUUCCACCCGCAGCACCACCACCACGAAACAUUACUCUCUACGGCGGCAACGGAGCACCACCCAGCCAUCAUCCCCCUCCUCGCCGCUACCCCGUGCAUCGUCGACGACGACAACCCCGCCUCCCAGGGUAAGCUAGGCGGUGGGAUCCACGUCUGGCAACCGGCUCAGCCGCAGGCGACCACGUAUCACCACCACGGUCACCCGUUUCCCCCAUACCAUGAAACCAACCCUAACCCUAGUCCUAACCCUACCCUCUAUAAUUACCUACGGAAGCCGGUGCCGAUGUUGGAAUCCAGAGUAAUUCUCGGAGCCACCGCCGGCGCAGGUGUGUUCACGUGCCAGGACUGUGGCAACCAGGCCAAGAAAGAUUGCAGCCACCGCCGAUGCCGGACUUGUUGCAAGAGCCGAGGGUUCGACUGCUCUACUCACGUGAAGAGCACUUGGGUUCCCGCUGCACGCCGUCGCGAGCGCCAACUAACUGUUGCCGCUGCAGCUGGCUCCUCCACCUCCACCUCCGCACCCAAGAAGGCCCGCCUUGUAUCUUCUCAGCCCGCCACCGCCUCCCACACCUCCACUUCCAACACCACUCCUCGUAGCUUCGACACCACCUCCAGCCACCAAGACGCCGGCGUCAAAGAGAACCUUCCCGGCCACGUGCGUGCCCCAGCGCUGUUCAAGUGCGUGCGUGUGACGUCCAUCGACGACGGCGAGGACGAGUACGCCUACCACGCCAUGGUCAAGAUCGGCGGCCGCGUCUUCAAAGGCUUCCUCUACGACCACGGCCUUGACGACGGCGGCGGCGGCCACUCCGACGACGGAAAGGAAGGCUCCAUACCGAACCUCUCGGAGCUACACCUCGGAAACCGCUUAGCCGGCGCUUCCUCAUCGUCACCGAUGCUGCCAUCGUCGUCGGACGCCUUCGGCGGAGGAUUGGUUGGAAGCGCCAACUACGAUAACCAAAUAAACUGAUGAAUCAUCCCGAUGCUUUGUUGUAACAGUAUGCUCCUUUAUCUUUCUUCCUUCAUUUUACUUGCGGCGAUUAUAUUUCCUCUUUAAUUACUAAAUAUUAUACAUUUCACGGGGAUAAUACUGUCUCAUUUCUUCCUGGCCAUUAUUCAUCGCUGUCCAAUCAUCAUUAUUUGUUGCACUAUUACUACCGUCUUCUUCUCCUCUUUCCUUUCUAAAUAGAGAAAGGAAUUUGGUGCAACGUAAAUUGCAUUGCUCAUGUCGCUCUUUGGGCCAUCUCCUGCCCUACCCGCGACUGUUCUCUUCAUGUAUAGUUAAACUUGCAAAUCUUCUUGGGGGUAGUUCUUUUGAGGAGGUGUAUGGCCAAGGAAGUUGCAUCGAGACUGGUGGAGAAUUUUUUUUAUCGAACUUUGUGUGUAUUAAGUUCCAAGUUAAAGCAUGGCUGCUUUCGGCUGUUUCUUUUCCAAGGCCGGAUGGGUGGCUUGGUAUGGCCGCAAGUUUUCUGUUCAUCCUGUUCCUUUUGUCAUCCCGUCCAGUCUUGCCACUUCACAUCAUAAUAGCUCGAGAAUCUGGACAGUGUGUGUAGUAUGGCGGUGUAUCCGGAAUGGUUUCAUCAAGGCGAUCAUUCCAAGUUAAAUACUGAAACUUUUAGUGUCAGUUCUCUUUUUCUGCAUCGGUCUAUGGGGAAAGCAUGCGUUGAUCUAAAGAGAGCAAGAGGUGAGAACGGAAGGACUGGAAGGAGAUAGACCACGGUGGCAAUCAUGAUGAUAGAGGCACUAAAUCUAGUUGACAUUGGCCUCAAUAUUAAGUACCAUGUAAAGGGAUCUAGUUGGACUAUAGAUGCACACUCGAGAAAUGUUGUCGAACGAAAUUGUUUGAUAGACACGGAGUUGCUCACUCACUUUCAUGAAAUGGUCAGGCAAAAUUAUGACAGUCAAGUGAAGGAGAGAUAGAUGUGUAUAUGGAGGAUGAGAAGAGACUGGCAUGAAAGAAAAUGAGAGGAGACGAAGGAUAUAGUAUUAGAUUGCUUAAUUGAGAGCGUAAAAUUCAAGUGAUGAAUAAGAAUAUGUCGUGUAAAACUCAGAGGUUCAAGUGAUGAAUAAGAAUAUGUCGUGUAAAA